This 523-nucleotide ribosomal RNA is filed under the name Bifidobacterium longum subsp. infantis. Its description in RNAcentral is "bacterial SSU rRNA". It matches the Rfam family "Bacterial small subunit ribosomal RNA", at positions 160 to 698 of the family's 1533-position model. Lineage: Bacteria; Bacillati; Actinomycetota; Actinomycetes; Bifidobacteriales; Bifidobacteriaceae. The record is from RNAcentral.
GUGGUAAUGCCGGAUGCUCCAGUUGAUCGCAUGGUCUUCUGGGAAAGCUUUCGCGGUAUGGGAUGGGGUCGCGUCCUAUCAGCUUGACGGCGGGGUAACGGCCCACCGUGGCUUCGACGGGUAGCCGGCCUGAGAGGGCGACCGGCCACAUUGGGACUGAGAUACGGCCCAGACUCCUACGGGAGGCAGCAGUGGGGAAUAUUGCACAAUGGGCGCAAGCCUGAUGCAGCGACGCCGCGUGAGGGAUGGAGGCCUUCGGGUUGUAAACCUCUUUUAUCGGGGAGCAAGCGAGAGUGAGUUUACCCGUUGAAUAAGCACCGGCUAACUACGUGCCAGCAGCCGCGGUAAUACGUAGGGUGCAAGCGUUAUCCGGAAUUAUUGGGCGUAAAGGGCUCGUAGGCGGUUCGUCGCGUCCGGUGUGAAAGUCCAUCGCUUAACGGUGGAUCCGCGCCGGGUACGGGCGGGCUUGAGUGCGGUAGGGGAGACUGGAAUUCUUUGUGUAACGGUGGAAUGUGUAGAUAUC